RNAcentral lists this small nuclear RNA (105 nucleotides) under Salvator merianae (Argentine black and white tegu). Lineage: Eukaryota; Metazoa; Chordata; Lepidosauria; Squamata; Teiidae. The record is from RNAcentral.
GUGCUCACUUCAGCAGCACAUAUACUAAAACUCGAAUGAUAUAGGGAAGAUUANCAUGGCCCCUGAGCAAGGAUGACAUGCAAAUUCAUGAAGGUUCAUUUUUUU